AUAUACAUGCAGUCGAGCGGACCGACGGGAGCUUGCUCCCUUAGGUCAGCGGCGGACGGGUGAGUAACACGUGGGUAACCUGCCUGUAAGACUGGGAUAACUCCGGGAAACCGGGGCUAAUACCGGAUGCUUCAUUGAACCGCAUGGUUCAAUGAUAAAAGGUGGCUUUUAGCUACCACUUACAGAUGGACCCGCGGCGCAUUAGCUAGUUGGUGAGGUAAGGGCUAACCAAGGCAACGAUGCGUAGCCGACCUGAGAGGGUGAUCGGCCACACUGGGACUGAGACACGGCCCAGACUCCUACGGGGGGCAGCAGUGGGAAAUCUUCCGCAAUGGACGAAAGUCUGACGGAGCAACGCCGCGUGAGUGAUGAAGGUUUUCGGAUCGUAAAACUCUGUUGUUAGGGAAGAACAAGUACCGUUCGAAUAGGGCGGUACUUUGACGGUACCUAACCAGAAAGCCACGGCUAAC
Molecule: ribosomal RNA, 470 nt
Filed under: Bacillus haynesii
Lineage: Bacteria; Bacillati; Bacillota; Bacilli; Caryophanales; Bacillaceae
Description: bacterial SSU rRNA
Rfam family: Bacterial small subunit ribosomal RNA
Source: RNAcentral